Molecule: small nucleolar RNA, 73 nt
Organism: Cyprinus carpio carpio
Lineage: Eukaryota; Metazoa; Chordata; Actinopteri; Cypriniformes; Cyprinidae
Gene: SNORD24
Rfam family: Small nucleolar RNA SNORD24
About the family: U24 is a member of the C/D class of snoRNA which contain the C (UGAUGA) and D (CUGA) box motifs. C/D box snoRNAs have been shown to act as methylation guides for a number of RNA targets.
Source: Ensembl
UGCAGAUGAUGUGAAAGAAUAUUUGCUAUCUGAAUAGUCGAUGCGGACAGUUUCCACCAAGAUCACUGAUGCA